CGCUCCGGCGCCGCUGUUUCCGCGCCGACGAAGGCUGGGGAUUUCCGUCCCCCCAGCCCCGGCGGGGUAACGAGACCUGUUGGCCGGCACGCACGGAGCCGUCCCGGGGCAGGAGAUGGGGCUGUGAAAAUGAUCUGAUGACAUCAGUAUGCUUCCCUGGCAACAAAUACUACAUCCUACCUACUUGUUCAUCAGUACAUUUGGGUAAAAACAGAAAAAGUGGAAAGGAGUAUGGAUGAGUACUAAGAGCUACUCUCUGAAGAGAUCCAGUGAUUCCUCAAGCAAGAUUAUUUCCACAUUUCCCUUGACCUCUUCAGUGACACUGAAGUACAGAGAUCUCAAUUGCUGAAUAUCAGUGGUAUAAGAUAGGGAUACUUCCUGCUGAACCAUUUGAUGAUACUCCAAAACAAGGUAGGAAACAGCCAUUUUUCAGAUUUUGCAUCUAGUCUUAGGUUCAUUCUUUUCACUUUUCACUUAUAUACGGUCUGCUGCACCUAAGACAGAAGCCUUCCUCAGCCAAGAAGCACAGGUGGAAUUAAAACAUUAUUGCAGGACAACA
This 559-nucleotide long non-coding RNA is filed under the name Meleagris gallopavo (turkey). RNAcentral's name for it is "lncRNA (ENSMGAG00000020793.1)". The record is from RNAcentral. Lineage: Eukaryota; Metazoa; Chordata; Aves; Galliformes; Phasianidae.